This is a long non-coding RNA of Papilio polytes (common Mormon), 1120 nucleotides long. RefSeq lists it as uncharacterized. The record is from RefSeq and is a predicted model, not a curated record. The transcript is spliced from 2 exons. NCBI's taxonomy places the organism in Eukaryota, Metazoa, Arthropoda, Insecta, Lepidoptera, Papilionidae.
UUCAACUAUUGUACUUAGACCCAUAAUUCGGCAAACAAAGGACCAUUUUUUUGUGUCCUAUAAAACUUUGUUCAAAACUUGAACAGUUUAAAACUGAAUUUGGUAACAAGUUGCUUGUUUGCCACGUUGUAUUUUGGAAAAAGGGCCACACUAUUAUGAAAAGCGACCGGUUGGUUCCAGGAUUUCGAGCGCUUUCAAGAACCACACAUGGUAACCACUGCUGAUGGGAAAGGGAAAGAUUCGUAAAGAGAAAUAGAAGAAUAUUUGUAAUAAUGUGACUUGUUCAAAUAGACAUAAAUAACUUUUUCUCUUUUCCGAAAUUUUUAAAAACGCAAGGUAGUUUUAAAUAUUUGAAACGAGUUACGUAGCCAUAACUAGUAUUAAGUUUUCAUAAGUUCAAGUUUUUACUGUAAGCCAUUUAUUCUAAGAUAAGGGAAUAGCUUAUAAGGAAUCUCAUUGUAUUCGGAUCUCUUCAUGUAUAAUACAUUUGUAAAGACAAUCAGUUCGCCGCAGUGCUCCUCGUGAGCAGUUCUCUAUUAAUUAAAUAAAGUCUUCAUAUCUUUUUUAAAACGCUUUACUUUGGGCUCCCAACCUAACUAACGCUAAAAUAGCGGAACUGGAACUAUGCUGGUACAAAAUAGGUGACAGUUGACACUACUCUACCCAGUAAUCUUUCCAGUCCUGUCCCUAGCAACAAAGGCAAGGAAGUUUUAAAUAUUUGAAACAACAAUAUAAUUUUAAAUGUUUAACCGAUAACCAACUGAGUCAAUCCAAAAUAUUUGAAAUUAUUAAAAUAACAACUUCAACUAUUUUACUUAGACCCAUAAUUUGGCUAAUGAACGACCAUUUAUUUGUUUCCUACAAAACUUUUUUUCAAAGCUUGAUCAAUCCAAAACCGAAUUAGGAAACCAGUUGCUUGUUUGCCACCUUGUAUUAUAAAAAGAGGCCACACUAUUAUGAGAAGCCAAUGGUUCCAGGAUUUCGAGCGCAUUCAAGAACCACACAUGGUAACCACUGCUGAUGGGAAAGGGAAAGAUUCGUAAAGAGAAAUAGAAGAAUAUUUGUAAUGAUGUGACUUGUUCAAAUAGACAUAAAUAACUUUUUCUCUUUUCCGAAAUUU